UUUUUUCUAUUUUCCAUUUUGCUUGCUUCUAAACCUUUUAAUCGAUAAAUGCCUGCAAUAAACAUAAAAUAUUGCGUAAUAAUAAGUGUUAAUCAAGUAAUAAGCAAUGCAUAUGAAUCCAAAAAUACGAUACGUUUUCACGUUAUCAAACUCCCACAUACUUAAACCUUUGCUUGUCCUCUAGCAAAUGCCACGUACAUGAACAAAACAUUUUGUAAAAUC
This 222-nucleotide long non-coding RNA is filed under the name Lathyrus oleraceus (garden pea). RNAcentral describes it as "Pisum sativum (pea) long non-coding RNA (PSAT_LNC034698)". The record is from RNAcentral. Lineage: Eukaryota; Viridiplantae; Streptophyta; Magnoliopsida; Fabales; Fabaceae.